UCUUGGUAAUUAAUUUCCUACAAAUGCAUAUGUUUUUUAGAACAUCUUUCUCUGUUGCCAUAGGUGCAUGUCUGCAUGUUUUAUCAAGACAGUUUACCAUGGGAAAGUCCCAGUAAAAACAUGAAAACAGAUCCUCUUGAACAUUUCAAGUGGAAUUUUAAGAUGGAUAUCUUUUAAAAUUCUUCCCCAGACUUAUGAAGCUGUGAAGAAAGGAAAGUCGCCCUGAACCUCUGGGCAUGUGGAGCUGAAAAGUCACAGAAAGCCUUCAGUUAUUCCCCCGCCAUUGCAAGCUUGGCCACACUCAAGAAAGACAUUUUUAGGCUGCAAUCCAUGCACUCAGUGCCAGAAAUAAAACAACACAAGCCAGAAAUAAAACAAUAACAACUAAAAAAGAAUGCAAAAGGAAAGACAGAAAAAAGGACUUUAUAGGCAAUUUGAAUAAAACACCUUUUUCUGAGUCUUCUAUGUUAGAGAAGGGAUAAUAAACAGCUUCAGUAUUUUAGCAGGAAGAAGACUUCUUAUUUUCAUAAAUGCUACAAGCCAAAUGACUUCAUUUUUUACUAGAGUAAUGUAAUUAGGCAUAAUACUUAUGCCAUUUGUAGAAGUAUUUUAACAGUUUUAUUUUGCCUAAUGAACCCAGUAGGAGGUAUAAAACAUGUCGUUGGAACUGUUCACAUUUUAUGACCCUAUUUUUCUUGUUUUGAUAGUUCACUUGAGGUUUUGCCUGUUGUUUGUCUGUUUUUCAAAAUAUACAGAAAGUAGGUCUCUGAGGAGUGCGUUGUGUCCUCAGGCUGGUCAAGACACAGAAAUGUCGAUGAAAUCACACCACGGGAAUAAAAGGCUGGAUUUUUGCAGGUGGCCCAUGAUAAGUGUAAGUGUGAGUGUGAGUGGUGUUCCAUGAGGACAUCGUUAGAACUCGCACUAGGACACCAUUAGAACUAGUUAAGAUGAUGUUUGAUACAGUUAACUAUGUGUAUUGGAUAAAAAGAAAAAUCACAAUAGUAGUUUAAAAAUGAUAAAGCAGAGAAGUUUAAAAAUUAUAAAACAUCAUUCAGAUGUUUCAUCCCAGAAGCUUUCUCAAUACUCUUGCACUCUCGCUCAAAUUCUACCUAGUUUAUACCUUUAUAUGGAAGCUUUAGUUUCUUUUCCUGAGAGAUGAAGAAAGUUUCAUUAAAGGUGCCGGCCAGAGGUAGUGCAGGAGUGCAUCAUGCUGCUGGGAACGUGUUAGUUCUGAAGUUGGACACCUAAACACCUACAAUGAAACUAAAGCAAAUCAUUUUAUUACCGUGGAGGACUGGACAAGAUUUUAAGUAGGAGUGAUUAAUCAAAUUUGAAUGAAAUGUUCAAGAUAGCUUUCUUGAAACUUUGCAGUCUAUUAGAAUUAUUUGUUAAGAAAAGCUGCGACAUAGAUUUUGGAAAAUGCCAGUCUUUCUACCCCAGUGCAAGCACCUCCAUGAUUCUUAGACUGAAAGCUGAAGAUUUCUCCAGAAACAUGGUUCAUGACUUGGAUGUUGGAACGUAGAUGGUCCCAGUGGGUGAGGCUUAUAUGAGUGGCCUUCAUGUAAUCUGGGAAAGAAGAGAAACCAUGCAGAGCUAAUGUCCCAAAGCUGGCAGCAGCAUGUGAUAAGAAGGAGCUGAAUGAGAAUACUGUCACACAGAGCAAGUGACAGGACUGUAGACCCAGGCCAGAAGGCAGAGACAAUUCUCCACUCUCAUCGGAGCACCAUGCCUCUCGUGGCUCUGGUUGGUGUUAGAAUCAGUAUGUAUUUGUCACAUGAAUAUAUAAUAACUUGUUUUUAUUUUAUGGGCAAAUAAAAUUUCAUAGCAAAAUAAUAAAAGGAUAACACUAUUUAACCCACUAUAUAUCAUUAUCUUCAGAGAUAAAAAAAGAUUUUGUCUUGCAAAGCAGAAACAAUCUGAUAAUGGCACAAAAGUUUCUUUUCAAUGAAUGGAGAUUAGUAGUAUAAAUGAGAUGAGUUAUCAUAUGUAUAAAGAUGAAUCUAGAUCACAGAAUGUACUAAUUCUCAUCGUGUGAAGGCCACUAAGGAGAGUGUGAUUGCUAUUACGAUGCAGAGGGAAUUAUUGAUUCUCAGGUUGAAAACACAGUUUGGAAAAUGAAAAAUGGUGUUUGCAUGUGAAAGAUUCAAAUAAUGUCAACAGCUGAUUUCUAAAAGAUAAGUAUAGUGUCUUCAGAACCUGGUUUUAGAUCCUAACUUGACAAGUUUCUAGAACUAUGGUCUUAGACAUAAUAUUCAAGUUCUCCAAAUCUCAAGUUCUUCUUAAAAUUAGUAAUGGUACUGGCUCUGAAUCAAGGCCGACAGCUUCCUGACACUGUUGGUUUCAAGCAGGAGCCUAAAGAGAUGUCUUUCUAUGGUCUGGUGGCCAUUUCUGAACUUGGGCAAUGAAAUGGUCAAUUCAUUAGAAAGAAACAGCUUGAAGCCACCCCCCACCCCAACCCCGUGAGUGGCUGUGAGUGUGGCAGGCUGCGGCAGCCUGGGAUGGGAGCUACUGGCGUUUACUGGGACCGGCACCAUGCUACAACCGUCCCCCAUGGUGAGUGACUGUGAGCCUGCGGUGCAUGGGGCUGAGAAUCCAACAUCACAUCCCCUCCCCGCCCUGUUAGCAAGUGGAAGCUGGUGAUCUGGACAUCCCUUGAGAGGCUGACCAUAGGCAGUGUAGCAAAUGGGGCUGGUUUCCUUCUACCAUCUCUUUGAAGGCAAAUACUUUUAUUCCUGUUUUGCUUUGUUCUAAUUAAUGGUGUUAUUUUAGCCUGUUUUGUUUUGUUCAACUUCAAUAUACAUGAAAGUAUGGAUGGCUAUUUUGAAGAGAACAAGAGACCUAAGCUCAUUGAUGUGGCUACUGAAUUGAUAAUUUUCUUUCUGUGGUACAAAUCAAGUAAGGAAACAGCUGGUAGGAAACCGCAGCUGCACUCCAGUCCAGAAGAACCAGAGAAGGAAAAUAAAUUAGUUUUGUUCUAAUAACGAACACCUUUAAGAGAAUCAAAGGAUUUGAUUUCUCUUUAUAUCAUUGUGUAUAUGAAAGCUAUAGAAUGCUAAAUCUAAUUUUAUUUUCUUUUGUAGAGGGAGAUUAAAUGCGUAAUUGUCAUUGUACAAAAGAAAAGAAAAGAAAGUGCUCUAAAGGAUAUAACUGCAUAUGUGUUUAAGUGUAUAAGAUAGAUAACCAUAUUACUGAGUUUUGUUGGAUCAUUGAACAAAACUGUUUGCAGUCUCACUGUUUGAAAGUCCCCUCUAUAUGCUUUAAUUUUGUAAUUUGAACAACUAUUUCUAAGAUGAGAAUAUGUAAUCUUUUAACUAGUGAUUUCUUACUGUUUAUUUUUUAAAUUUUGUAUUACUUGUACCCUUAUUCUGUUUUUUUCUUUUUCUCCUUAAAUAAAAAAAAAAAAAGAAAGAAAGCACCUAUUAAAAAAAAAGAAAAGAAAAUGCAAAGAUAAAAUUUACCAGGAAAUAAACUUGAGGACAAUGAUUGUCUCUUUUGCUAAGUGAUAUUACAAAUAUUUUAGUUACCAGUAAUCUCCAAUAUUUAUUAUGUAUUUUAACUUUCAUUUCAUUAACACAAA
Molecule: long non-coding RNA, 3577 nt
Organism: Cavia porcellus (domestic guinea pig)
Lineage: Eukaryota; Metazoa; Chordata; Mammalia; Rodentia; Caviidae
Exons: 3
Source: RefSeq, a predicted model, not a curated record